AGAGUUUGAUCCUGGCUCAGGAUGAACGCUAGCGGCAGGCCUAAUACAUGCAAGUCGGACGGUCCCUUCGGGGAUAGUGGCAAACGGGUGCGUAACGCGUAAAUAACCUGCCCCAAACUGGGGGAUAGCCCGGCGAAAGCUGGGGUAAGCCCGCAUGGUCUUUUUGCCUCACCUGGGGCGAUCAGUAAAACAGCAAUGUGGUUUGGGAGGGAUUUGCGUCUGAUUAGCUAGUUGGCGGGGUAAUGGCCCACCAAGGCGAUGAUCAGUAGGGGCUCUGAGAGGAGGGUCCCCCACAUGGGCACUGAGACACGGGCCCAACUCCUACGGGAGGCAGCAGUAGGGAAUAUUGGGCAAUGGACGCAAGUCUGACCCAGCCAUGCCGCGUGCAGGAAGACGGCCCUCUGGGUUGUAAACUGCUUUUAUCAGGGAAGAAGAGCACUGAUGCGUCAGUGUGUGACGGUACCUGAGGAAUAAGCACCGGCUAACUCCGUGCCAGCAGCCGCGGUAAUACGGAGGGUGCAAGCGUUGUCCGGAUUUAUUGGGUUUAAAGGGUGCGUAGGUGGCCUUUUAAGUCAGCUUUGAAAGCUGGUCGCUUAACGAUCAGGGGUGGGUUGAUACUGGAAGGCUUGGAUCAGGUGGCGGUUUCUGGAACGGGUCGUGUAGCGGUGAAAUGCAUAGAUAUGACCCAGAACUCCGAUUGCGAAGGCAGGAGGCUACGCCUGGAUUGACACUGAGGCACGAGAGCAUGGGGAGCAAACAGGAUUAGAUACCCCCGUAGUC
This 780-nucleotide ribosomal RNA is filed under the name uncultured bacterium. RNAcentral's name for it is "bacterial SSU rRNA". It matches the Rfam family "Bacterial small subunit ribosomal RNA", at positions 8 to 795 of the family's 1533-position model. The record is from RNAcentral.